GAUGAACGCUGGCGGCGUGCCUAAUACAUGCAAGUCGAGCGAACGGACGAGAAGCUUGCUUUUCUGAUGUUAGCGGCGGACGGGUGAGUAACACGUGGAUAACCUACCUAUAAGACUGGGAUAACUUCGGGAAAACGGAGCUAAUACCGGAUAAUAUUUUGAACCGCAUGGUUCAAAAGUGAAAGACGGUCUUGCUGUCACUUAUAGAUGGAUCCGCGCUGCAUUAGCUAGUUGGUAAGGUAACGGCUUACCAAGGCAACGAUGCAUAGCCGACCUGAGAGGGUGAUCGGCCACACUGGAACUGAGACACGGUCCAGACUCCUACGGGAGGCAGCAGUAGGGAAUCUUCCGCAAUGGGCGAAAGCCUGACGGAGCAACGCCGCGUGAGUGAUGAAGGUCUUCGGAUCGUAAAACUCUGUUAUUAGGGAAGAACAUAUGUGUAAGUAACUGUGCACAUCUUGACGGUACCUAACCAGAAAGCCACGGCUAACUACGUG
Molecule: ribosomal RNA, 497 nt
Filed under: uncultured bacterium
Lineage: Bacteria
Description: partial 16S ribosomal RNA
Rfam family: Bacterial small subunit ribosomal RNA
Source: RNAcentral